This 67-nucleotide transfer RNA is filed under the name Acerella muscorum. RNAcentral describes it as "tRNA-Arg". The record is from RNAcentral. Lineage: Eukaryota; Metazoa; Arthropoda; Protura; Acerentomata; Acerentomidae.
CAUUAAUUAGCUUAAAAAAAAGCAUUCAGUUUCGACCUGAAUUAUUUAGGUAAUCCUAUGUUAUUAU